GAGUAACACGUGACCAACCUGCCCUCGAGUGGGGAAUAACUCCGGGAAACCGGAGCUAAUACCGCAUAACAUCGCAAGAUCAAAGCCGCAAGGCGCUUGAGGAGGGGGUCGCGGCUGAUUAGCUAGUUGGUAGGGUAAUGGCCUACCAAGGCGAAGAUCGGUAGCCGGCCUGAGAGGGCGCACGGCCACACUGGAACUGAAACACGGUCCAGACUCCUACGGGAGGCAGCAGUGGGGAAUUUUGCGCAAUGGGGGAAACCCUGACGCAGCAACGCCGCGUGGAGGAUGAAGUCCCUUGGGACGUAAACUCCUUUCGACCGGGACGAUACUGACGGUACCGGAAGAAGAAGCACCGGCUAACUCUGUGCCAGCAGCCGCGGUAAUACAGAGGGUGCGAGCGUUGUUCGGAAUUAUUGGGCGUAAAGGGCGCGUAGGCGGUGCGGUAAGUCACCUGUGAAAUCUCCUGGCUCAACUGGGAGCUUGCAGGCGAAACUGCCGUGCUGGAGUGUGGGAGAGGUGCGUGGAAUUCCCGGUGUAGCGGUGAAAUGC
Molecule: ribosomal RNA, 549 nt
Filed under: uncultured bacterium
Lineage: Bacteria
Description: bacterial SSU rRNA
Rfam family: Bacterial small subunit ribosomal RNA
Source: RNAcentral